AUGGAGCUGAAUAACAUAAUGGAGCUGGAUAACGUAAUGGAGCUGGAUAACGUAAUGGAGCUGGAUAACAUAAUGGAGCUGAAUAACAUAAUGGAGCUGAAUAACAUAAUGGAGCUGGAUAACGUAAUGGAGCUGGAUAACAUAAUGGAGCUGAAUAACAUAAUGGAGCUGGAUAACAUAAUGGAGCUGGAUAACGUAAUGGAGCUGGAUAACGUAAUGGAGCUGGAUAACAUAAUGGAGCUGAAUAACAUAAUGGAGCUGAAUAACAUAAUGGAGCUGGAUAACGUAAUGGAGCUGGAUAACGUAAUGGAGCUGGAUAACAUAAUGGAGCUGAAUAACAUAAUGGAGCUGAAUAACAUAAUGGAGCUGGAUAACGUAAUGGAGCUGGAUAACAUAAUGGAGCUGAAUAACAUAAUGGAGCUGGAUAACAUAAUGGAGCUGGAUAACGUAAUGGAGCUGGAUAACGUAAUGGAGCUGGAUAACAUAAUGGAGCUGGAUAACAUAAUGGAGCUGGAUAACAUAAUGGAGCUGGAUAACAUAAUGGAGCUGAAUAACAUAAUGGAGCUGGAUAACGUAAUGGAGCUGGAUAACGUAAUGGAGCUGAAUAAUAUAAUGGAGCUGAAUAACAUAAUGGAGCUGGAUAACGUAAUGGAGCUGGAUAACGUCAUGGAGCUGGAUUACAUAAUGGAGCUGGAUAAUGUAAUGGAGCUGGAUAACGUAAUGGAGCUGGAUAAUGUAAUGGAGCUGGAUAACGUCAUGGAGCUGGAUAAUGUAAUGGAGCUGGAUAACGUAAUGGAGCUGGAUAACUUAAUGGAGCUGGAUAACGUAAUGGAGCUGGAUAACGUAUUGGAGCUGGAUAACGUAAUGGAGCUGGAUAACGUCAUGGAGCUGGAUUACAUAAUGGAGCUGUCAUAUCAAAUAGCUUACUUAAGAACAAUCCAAUCAUACAGUGCCUUGCGAAAGUAUUCGGCCCCCUUGAACUUUGCAACCUUUUGCCACAUUUCAGGCUUCAAACAUAAAGAUAUAAAACUGUAUUUUUUUGUGAAGAAUCAACAACAAGUGGGACACAAUCAUGAAGUGGAACAACAUUUAUUGGAUAUUUCAAACUUUUUUAACAAAUCAAAAACUGAAAAAUUGGGCGUGCAAAAUUAUUCAGCCCCCUUAAGUUAA
Molecule: long non-coding RNA, 1170 nt
Organism: Oncorhynchus mykiss (rainbow trout)
Lineage: Eukaryota; Metazoa; Chordata; Actinopteri; Salmoniformes; Salmonidae
Source: Ensembl